GCCUGGGGAGUACGGCCGCAAGGUUAAAACUCAAAUGAAUUGACGGGGGCCCGCACAAGCGGUGGAGCAUGUGGUUUAAUUCGAUGCAACGCGAAGAACCUUACCUACUCUUGACAUCCACAGAAUUUGGUAGAGAUACCUUAGUGCCUUCGGGAACUGUGAGACAGGUGCUGCAUGGCUGUCGUCAGCUCGUGUUGUGAAAUGUUGGGUUAAGUCCCGCAACGAGCGCAACCCUUAUCCUUUGUUGCCAGC
This 252-nucleotide ribosomal RNA is filed under the name Pectobacterium wasabiae. RNAcentral's name for it is "partial 16S ribosomal RNA". It matches the Rfam family "Bacterial small subunit ribosomal RNA", at positions 871 to 1122 of the family's 1533-position model. Lineage: Bacteria; Pseudomonadati; Pseudomonadota; Gammaproteobacteria; Enterobacterales; Pectobacteriaceae. The record is from RNAcentral.